Molecule: non-coding RNA, 27 nt
Filed under: Homo sapiens (human)
Lineage: Eukaryota; Metazoa; Chordata; Mammalia; Primates; Hominidae
Source: RNAcentral
UCUGAUUUAGAGAAAAGCAGGUCUGAU